UUUUUCUUUUUUUUUAAAUAAGUCAAGGCAAAAGUCGAUAAGACUUUGUCUUAAAAUCAUGAUUUUUUUUGUAAGUGUGGGCAUGUGUCCUGGAGAAAUGAAAGGGUUAAGAAAAAGAGAGAGAGAGAGAGAGGGGGGAGGGGGAGGGAGAGAGAGAGACUCGUAAUUUUUCGCAUUUUAGAUUACCUGAACAGAAUAACUUAACUUGGUCUAAAGAAGAACAGUGAAGACUAACCAGGAAAACUAAUUUUUAUUUCAGAUUUCUCUGACUGGGCGUGCGGUCACACGGGAAGUGCAGUUCCGGUGGAUGGAGUUCCCUACGGACGCACAAUUCCAGCGGAUGCAGUACCGGAGAAUCCGGUUCGGGCUGAGCAGGGUCGGCGCAAAGAGAUCUCGGCGUAGCGAAACAUUGUCGACCCUGAUUUAGAAGCGGUUCGCCAAAAUAUCCGUCAUACGCCGUCAGAAUGUGACCAUUGAUCGUGUCGCGGGUGCAGUGAGGCGAAGCGAGGUGAAGUGCAAUUAACGCGGCGCCAUGCAGAGCGCCGGACGCGGAACGAAAUUCAGGAGCGACGCGGCGCGCGGGCUAGGCGCAGCGAGUCUCAUCGAUGGAGCCGGCUGUGGACGGACUUGGCCCUGGACGACAAUGGAUCUCGGCGCGAAAUGCCCCGAACUUGCUGGAGGAGGGUCAGCGCGUGGUCUCCAUCGCUAACAACGACAAGUCGCUGGUGAAAUCGAUCGAUUGAACGCAAAGUUACCCCGUGGGACAGAAUUCCGGCGAAAAAGUUCGCACGAAGCUUAUUCGCGGAGGAGGCGCUUCUCGCGGUGAUUUCCCCUUCAGGCUCGGGAAAAAGGACAAUUUGCUCAGAAGAAACGAGAGGAAUGCACAAUAUGGUAGGUUUGGAUUUCGCCCUUGUUCACGUGACCAAAAGAAAGAAAUAAACGACAAAGUAAUGAAAGUCAAAGAAACCUCGCAAUAUGCUUGAGGCAAGGCAUAAAAAUGUAUACUGAAUAUAAUUUCUUGACUGUGCUUAAAUAGUUUCCUAGUAUAAUGCUCUUUUUCUAUACGAUACACACUUUCAUCUCUCUUUUUCUCAUUACAGCUGUCGGAUAUGAUUCUCAGAACUCUCUCUAUGUCGAAGUAUUAAUGGAUAAUUAUUCUAUGAGAUCCCUCGUUAUUACAUGAAGAUGAACGGAAGUCGUUAUAGACGCAGGAGCUUUUAAUUACAAUUCGCAUAAAGCGAUUGCUAUUGUGUCUUCUCUUAUAAAGUACUUUUAUAUCUCGUAUCUCCUCAUCAACCCGUCUCAGCAGCUUUAGGAAACGAAGGGUCCUUAAUAAGAACGUGAACAAAGGAACGCUAGGAAGACAAAUAAUUCAAAGGCCUUUCGAUCGGAGUUUCAAAUAGCAUGACAAACACUCGAAACGCGCCGCUUUCCACUGUAGUACGUUGAUUUCGGCAAAUAGAUCGGAUGUCGAUUGAUUACUCCGAAAUUCUGCCGAAUAUCCGCGGUCGUUAGGUAAUAUACACGUCGAAUUUAUGUAGAGAAAGACAGUAAUAAUAAUAUGCAGAUUGCAUAUUAAUUAAAAAAAAAAGUUCACUUACAGACUUGCUGGAUAAGUUAUAAAUCAAAUUUCAACUUUAGGAAAACUUAUUUAGUACUAACUUAAAAGCGUUGCCUGAGUUAUCACAAAGUCAAUAAGAUGAAAUUAAGAGAGGGUGGAGUGUGCACGUAUAUUCGUGAUAGUUCAUAUCUUCCGCAGGAAAAUUAUGGAGAGUAACGAUAAAAUCUGGUCAAUCAAACGGUUUAGGAGUUUAUAGGGUUUAUAGUUAAAAUAGAUUUAUAUUAUUUAAUAUAUUUUCGACAAAUUCUAAUUGCAAUAAGUACGUUCGGAAAGAUUAGUUUUUUUUUUCAAUAUUACCACGAAUAUUAUAUCCAAAUUAUUUCAUAUUGUUUUGGUUAAAAAAUAUCUUAAAAAAUAUCUCAUAUAAGCGCAAAUAUAUAAAAACAUAAACUGAAUGCCGAGGUACCUUAAUAUACAGUAUGAUUAGCAUAAAAAGAUAUGAAAUCGAUCUCGUUUAAGAACAGGUAAAGUAAGUAAUUAAUAUUUUACAAAGUGGUUCGAUGAUGUAAUUUUCUACUAUCUCUCAGUCUCUUUCUCUUUUCCUUCUCUCUUCUCUCAAGGGAGGUAAUUCGGUGCGUGGGAGAUAUUGACGUUGAUCGAAGUAAAUGCGAUCAAAUAACGGGGAUGUCACGAACGGUAAAUUGACUAUAGAUUAAUUACUCAGGAAUCUUGAUCGUUAUGUGUUCCGUCAUGCGAGUCGCACACACAGAGAAGUGUAUAUGACGUAAAUGCGAUCGGGAUUUAUAGCGCGAAAUUUCAUUACGUUCGCUUGGCGCAAUCCA
Odontomachus brunneus is the source of this 2403-nucleotide RNA transcript. RefSeq lists it as uncharacterized. The record is from RefSeq and is a predicted model, not a curated record. The transcript has 4 exons. NCBI's taxonomy places the organism in Eukaryota, Metazoa, Arthropoda, Insecta, Hymenoptera, Formicidae.